Long non-coding RNA from Xiphophorus hellerii (green swordtail), 594 nucleotides. RefSeq lists it as uncharacterized. Lineage: Eukaryota; Metazoa; Chordata; Actinopteri; Cyprinodontiformes; Poeciliidae. The transcript has 2 exons. The record is from RefSeq and is a predicted model, not a curated record.
CUGUCAUUUAAAAUGAUCUUACUGUCAUGUUCCGGGGUCUUUUAGCUCCUUUGUGGAGUUUUGUGCCUGCACUCGUUUUUCUCCACCACUAGAUGGCGCCUUUACCAUCCGUCGGAGGGCGUGGAUGACGUCAUCCCACACCUGAUGCGGGUUUGGCUCAUCAGUGUGAAGUUCAAGAGGAGCUGACUGCCAGUCCUUCGGCGCCUGAGUGUUAGCCAGUCACGGUACCUCUGAGCCCCUAGAAGCUUGCUUCUGUUUUGCCUUGUUGACCCACUCCUAGUGAAAGUUUUUCUUCGUUGCUUCUCCUGCCUCCAGGUGUUUUUCCUCCUGGCUCCUCUUCAUCCGCUGAUCCUGAGCCUAACUGUCCGCCCUCCGACGUACUCCCGUUGCCUCCUGGACCCCCGCUGUCAGACAAGACUACCACCUGGAACCUCUGAGAACAAACCCCGGACGCUGCAGUUACCCUCCCACUUCUCUAACCUGCCGAUCACAAUGAACUGUUUGAUUCCCUGAACCAGCCUCUCUCCCUGGACCCGACCCGAGCCAACUAUUCCUGCCAGCAGUGUUUUUUCAAUAAAUUUAUCUUUUAUUUCA